RNAcentral lists this ribosomal RNA (366 nucleotides) under uncultured Geobacteraceae bacterium. RNAcentral's name for it is "bacterial SSU rRNA". It matches the Rfam family "Bacterial small subunit ribosomal RNA", at positions 466 to 831 of the family's 1533-position model. Lineage: Bacteria; Pseudomonadati; Thermodesulfobacteriota; Desulfuromonadia; Geobacterales; Geobacteraceae. The record is from RNAcentral.
GGUUUGACGGUACCUAUAAAGGAAGCACCGGCUAACUCCGUGCCAGCAGCCGCGGUAAUACGGGGGGUGCAAGCGUUGUUCGGAAUUAUUGGGCGUAAAGCGCGUGUAGGCGGUCUGAUUAGUCUGAUGUGAAAGCCCUGGGCUCAACCCAGGAAGUGCAUUGGAUACUGUCAGACUUGAAUACGGGAGAGGGUAGUGGAAUUCCUAGUGUAGGAGUGAAAUCCGUAGAUAUUAGGAGGAACACCGGUGGCGAAGGCGGCUACCUGGACCGAUAUUGACGCUGAGACGCGAAAGCGUGGGUAGCAAACAGGAUUAGAUACCCUGGUAGUCCACGCCGUAAACGAUGAGAACUAGGUGUYGCGGGUA